CUUUGCUUAAUGGAGGCUGCUCCACGAGGGACCAAUCGGUAUGUGAGCGCCGUAGCUGUGGAAACAGACAGCGAGCACAUCCACACUGCAUUUGACAGCGGAUCAUGAUAAACGCUUUUCUGGAGAUGGAUUUCGUGGGAAACUGAAUUCCGCUGGGAAGGCAGAGGAAGGCAAAAUCAUGUGAAACACUCGAAACGAUGCUGGAUAGUCCUGACUUUUGUCACAGAAUGGAAUUACGUUGGACUUUUGAGUUGAUCACCCGCUUAAUCUUCAGUCAAAGGGACUGAAACAGUGUCUUCUGCUCGUCCUGCUGUCACAAACAUCUCCUGUGCAGUUGGUAGUACAGCAGGAGAAGGAAUGGCCAAAAUCUGCACAGAGCAAUCAUACUCUACCCGCAAGUCUGCUUUUACUCCAGAGCUGGACCCCCAGUGGGUUGAUAGAGAAGACAGGAUAUCCUUUGUACUCAGACAUGGAGGUUGGUUAUCACAAAGGAAAAAAAAUGCAAAAAGCAGUUCAACUACGGAGGGCUCUGAAAAUGUUCCGGAGCAGGGUGGGGAAAGCUGGGACAACAAGGAAGGUCAAGAUCAACUUCAAAAGAGAAACCACAACAGGAAUAGUGGACACUGGCCUCUUGCUACACUAAAUAUGAAUAACUGCAACAACACAGAUGAGUAAGUGAGUUAAAGGGGAAAUCCACUGAAUUUUUUUAAAUAUGAGAAGAACUUAAGUUUUUUGUCUGCAUGUACCUCUCUACCCUGAACAUAUUUUUAAAAAAUGUUUUAGGCCAAUACCAUAUUGUGGCCAAUUUUUAAUUAUUAUUUGAAAAAAAAACUUUAGAGAAAUCUGGUUCCUGUCACCAUCACUGUGAAUUCUAACUCGGUAGGUUUCUGUAGAACUGAGUAUUUUACAUCAAACCAGUCUGAAUUCUUUCUAUAGUGCUCCCCAGUGGCACAGUGGUAGGGUGCAGGGCUUGCAAGGCAAGGGUUGCUGGUUUCAAUCCAGCUGGGAGUUACCCCCUUCAAAAUUACACAACAUAGUCCCUGUCUCCCAUCAUUAUUUGGGGGCAGUCAUGGGCUGGAGGUUAGACAAAGAAAAGAUCUCCUGAGCCUAUGGUACGUGACUGAAGUGCCCUUGAGCAAGGUGCCUAACCCCUAACUGCUCCCCGGGCGCUGUGGAUAGGGCUGCCCAUUGCUCCAGGCAAGUGUGCUCACUGCCCCCUAGUGUGUGUGUGGUGUUUCACUGGAUGGGUUAAAUGUGGAGGUGAAAUUUUCCUGUUGUGGGACUAAUAAGGGUCACUUAAGGAUAAUGGUUUAAUAAUUCAGAAAUUUUGAAAAAUCUGUGGAAUUCCCCUUUAUAUAUUAUUGUAAUGUUUUGUACUGUACCACAUAAUACUAAACUCAUUAUCGUAUGAUAUUAACCACACAAACUAAUUUAUUAAAGCAAAAAGGAUAACAAGGAGAUAAAGAAAGACGACAAGAAAGAGGACGGAAAAAAGGAUGAAAAGAAAGAUGAGAAGAAGGAGGAGAAAAAAGAUGACAAAAAGGAUGACAAAAAGGAUGAUAAAAAAGACGACAAAAAGGAUGACAAAAAGAAAGAAGACCCACCGUAAGUAGUUGAUGUUUUUAGCAGCUAUUUUAGCAUGUUAUUGCUAAAAUAGCUGAACAAUUAAUUAAAUAUGUACUUUUU
Pygocentrus nattereri (red-bellied piranha) is the source of this 1686-nucleotide long non-coding RNA. The record is from Ensembl. Lineage: Eukaryota; Metazoa; Chordata; Actinopteri; Characiformes; Serrasalmidae.